This is a long non-coding RNA of Larimichthys crocea (large yellow croaker), 1592 nucleotides long. RefSeq lists it as uncharacterized. The transcript is spliced from 2 exons. The record is from RefSeq and is a predicted model, not a curated record. NCBI's taxonomy places the organism in Eukaryota, Metazoa, Chordata, Actinopteri, Sciaenidae.
UGAUGUUCAAUCUGCUCUGUAUGAUCUGCACUUACAUUCUGAGUGUCACAUUCACUUUUCCUCUUCUGUUUCAGAGCCAGACUUCACUUGGUUGAUUGUUGCUGUUGUUUUCAUCAUUCUUUUUAUUAUUGCUUUGCUUGGUCUCAUUCUCCUGUGUAAACAGAGACGUAACAAUGGGUAUGAGGGGCCUGGAACCGCUUGAUGAGAGGUCACACCUGUGGACAAUUCAGAGUCACCUGUAAACCUUUUAAAUUUUUAUGUUCUGAUUAUCUUAUGCAUCUCAUUUUUACAUAAACACACAAACUGCAUGUGUGUCUUGUUGUGGACAUUAUUCUGCUGACAGAUAAGAUGGAGGUAACAAAUGUUUCAUUAUUACUCAGUCAGACAUAGAAUGAAAACAAAAUGCUAAAAGUCACAAAGAGAAGAAUUCAAAUGGACCAAGUUAAAAUGGGACCUGAUUAAACUGAAGUUGAGAUUAAAUUGACUUUUUAAAAAGUGUUUAACGCUGAGGAGCUCCGACCAAAACAGCCUGAUCACACUGAUCAAACACGACUUCAGUAACAGUAACACUGACAGACAGCUGGUGAAGAAUCAGAGCUGCUGUUUGUGUCGUCUGUAAUUAGUUAAAAUCCGAGCUGUGGACAGACGAGUGACUUCAGCCUGAUCAAUGAGACUAAACGAGAUCAGAUCGUUUCACACUUACUGUAGCGUACCAGCAGAUCAUUAGUUAAUCUCUGGGUCGGUGGUUCGAUCCCCGACUCGUCCCGUCCACAUGUUGAAGUGUCCUCGAGCCAGACACUGAAUUAUUCCUGAUGGUUGCAGAGCUGAAGUAUAAAUACUGAUACUGACAUUUACCAAAUAUCAUCAUGCUGUUUGUAGCUACACAUGAAACAAACUAAACUUCUGUUACACUGGAAAUGUGAAUAUUGUGCAGCUGAAAUGAAAUGUCACGUGACUGUGGUGGAAAGUUUAUUUCUAGAAGAAUCUAAUGAAUUAUUAUUUUUGAAUCAUGUUGAGUGAUAUUAUGAAAUGUAACUGAUCAUGAUGCCAGUGUGCUGGCACGAUGUUCACCUGGUCUCAGUAAUGAGAGUACAGGGAUGUCCUUAUUUGGUCAGUGACUGUUCAUCUCAGGUGUCUGACAGCGAGUGUGACUCUUUUUUUGUUCUGACGACUUUGAGUCUUAUGUUUUCUUUUGAUAUUUGUGUUUAUUGUCGUUAUUUGAGACAAUCAUGUAUCAUCUGUCAGGUACUGCUGCACUCUGAAACACACACUCAGUGUCCAGUUUAUUCACAGUCUGAUAUGACUGUUCAGUUUGUGUGCUUAAGAUCAUUUUGGUGUCCGCUCCGUGUUUAUCAAUGAGGGCGAAUAAGAGAAUCAUCUCUCUGAACACAAACUGAACAUGAGGAGCUUCAUGAAGGACUUACUGCACGGCUGAUGUGUUGACUGCUUCAGUUUGAGCUAUGUGUGCUUCAUGAACUGGACACUGAGUGUUUACUGUGAUAUUUGAAUUCACUCUCUGAUGGCUCAUGUUUGCUUUAGUUAACUGAUGAUGCACUUUCUAUACAAAGCUUCUAAAUAAAUAUUAUAAAUAA